GUAGGGAAUAUUGCGCAAUGGACGAAAGUCUGACGCAGCGACGCCGCGUGAGUGAUGAAGGCCUUAGGGUCGUAAAGCUCUGUUGAAUGGGAAGAAAAAAAUGACGGUACCAUUCGAGGAAGGACCGACUAACUUCGUGCCAGCAGCCGCGGUAAUACGAGGGGUCCUAGCGUUGUUCGGAAUCAUUGGGCGUAAAGGGUGUGUAGGUGGCCAUGUAAGUCAGGUGUGAAAGCCCCGGGCUCAACCCGGGAAGUGCACUUGAUACUGCGUGGCUUGAGUACCGAAGAGGGUAGUGGAAUUCCAGGUGUAGUGGUGAAAUACGUAGAUAUCUGGAGGAACACCGGUGGCGAAGGCGGCUACCUGGUCGAGUACUGACACUGAGACACGAAAGCAUGGGGAUCAAACAGGAUUAGAAACCCCAGUAGUCC
This 428-nucleotide ribosomal RNA is filed under the name uncultured bacterium. RNAcentral's name for it is "partial 16S ribosomal RNA". It matches the Rfam family "Bacterial small subunit ribosomal RNA", at positions 354 to 796 of the family's 1533-position model. The record is from RNAcentral.